CUUUUUCAUGUGCACACAGAAGUUCUGAUGUCAAGUCUAUAGUAAGCCUGAAAAUGAAUGGCUCUGAAAUACACCUAUGGAUAAAUUAUAUUUUAACAGGUACAGGCAGUGUUUUUCAGGUGGUGGAAAUGUCCCCCUGGGGGAAGCAUGUGGCAGUGUAGAACUGCUUCACACCACAAAAGGCUCAUCAGCAGGCUGUGCUCCCUCCCUUAGGAGGCACUGUGGCUGUGCCAGGCACAGGGCAGUCCUUGUGCACAGGAAUCCCUGCUCAGAAACAGCUGGAGCUGGGGAGAGCACAUGGAGCAGGGAGCCCUCCAGUCAACCAGCAAUUCAUGUAACUCACAAAAAAACAAGCAAGAAAGAAUCUGAAGAAAAGUUUAUAAGAAGAUCAAGGUUCCAGUACUAUUGAAAGGCACAUUUCACCCAUGCUGAACAACAGUUGAGUUCAUGGACACGUACAAUGCUCAGAAUUCAUGGCAAAAAGACCACAUAAUGAUGAUAUAUUGUGAAACAUACAUUCCAGACUUUAGUAAAAUACUAAAGUGAUUAUUUUAAGUGUUUCAUGUACAUAAUAAGAGCGGAACAGGCAGAUGCAUCCAAUUACUGUAAUUUACAAGGCAAUAAUUCGAACCUCAAACACAUUUCUCCUUAUUGGAAGAAGGGGCUAUGGAUUAGCAGUGAAACGAGGGGCAGUGAAUGAUCAGGGAGCCAGGAAGCUGCUGCCAUUUGGAAAAUAACAGCCAGCACCUGCUGCAAGUCAGGGGAAUUUAACUUCACUUAUUCAUUUCACUGUGCUGUGGCAGCACAAGGCUGGGCUGGAUGGAUGGGAUGGAUGGAUGGAUGGAUGGAUGAUGGAUGGAUGGGAUGGAUGGAUGGAUGAUGGAUGGAUGGAUGGAUGGAUGAUGGAUGAUGGAUGGAUGGAUGGAUGGAUGGAUGGAUGGAUGGAUGGAUGAUGGAUGAUGGAUGGAUGGAUGGAUGGAUGGAUGGAUGGAUGGAUGAUGGAUGGAUGGAUGGAUGGAUGGAUGGAUGAUGGAUGGGAUGGAUGGAUGGAUGGAUGGAUGGAUGGAUGGAUGGAUGAUGGAUGGAUGGAUGGAUGGAUGUGGAUGGAUGGAUGGAUGUGGAUGGAUGGAUGGAUGGAUGGAUGGAUGGAUGGGAUGGAUAGAUGGAUGGGAUGGAUGGAUGGAUGGAUGGAUGGAUCCGAUGUACACAGAUGUUUCCUUGGCAGUGGGAAGAAUGAAGUCUCCUUGAUGCCUCCCCUCUCCCUGUUCAGUGCUGUGCCUUGUGCAAAUUACCUCCUUUCAUCUAGCUCGGGGUUAAGUUUCACGUUUAGAUGA
RNAcentral lists this long non-coding RNA (1334 nucleotides) under Parus major (Great Tit). Its description in RNAcentral is "lncRNA (ENSPMJG00000010925.1)". The record is from RNAcentral. Lineage: Eukaryota; Metazoa; Chordata; Aves; Passeriformes; Paridae.